Molecule: regulatory RNA element, 89 nt
Organism: Clostridium chromiireducens
Lineage: Bacteria; Bacillati; Bacillota; Clostridia; Eubacteriales; Clostridiaceae
Rfam family: c-di-GMP-I riboswitch aptamer
About the family: GEMM was predicted in a large-scale screen for bacterial structured RNA regulatory elements. Genes associated with GEMM are involved in a diverse array of functions, including chemotaxis regulation, signal transduction, secretion and chitin.
Source: Rfam
AAGUGUAAAUAGCAAAUCCAUUGAAAGGUGGAGACGCAAAGCCAUGAGUCUAAAGCAACGUUAAUUGCCAUGAUAGUCAGGUUGCCAAA